RNAcentral lists this non-coding RNA (42 nucleotides) under Echinostoma caproni. The record is from RNAcentral. Lineage: Eukaryota; Metazoa; Platyhelminthes; Trematoda; Plagiorchiida; Echinostomatidae.
CUGUGGAUGAGACCCAACCAGGUCGAAACAGCUGUCCUACAG